UACGCGUUGCCGGUUCCGGCGCGGCGCAGGGUGGAGUUAGUAAAUAACACGUCUUCCCGGAAUACGUGAUUCGUCCGUGAUAACAGUGAUAAGCACGCGCUCGGUUUCUGUUAUUUUCUUAAAUUUUACUACGAUUUAUCGUUAGAGAUUAUCAAGAAUUAAUCCCGUACUCGGUAGUGCAAGCAUCAGCUCGGAAGAAAGCAAUUUCAGUGCGCCGGGUUCCCUUUAGUUAGCUGGUUUUGUUCGAAGUGUGUUUCGUGCAUUGUGUGUAGUGUGGUUUCAUGUGAAGUGGAAUAUUUGUGGAGCUCUUUCAACAAUCAAAAUAACUCAUAAUGGGAAAUAUUCACACUACUGGACCUAACUGUGCUCUCAUAGUAUCAGUUCGAGGCUCAUCGUUUCAUUUUGGAUUCUAUCAAUGGUGUAGAGGGCAUCAGAGUGCUUAUCUUUUACAGACGAAGACCUGUCUAGCCGCGGACCAAUACAAACCGCGCUCGUCGCGCCUGCAAAGCUGUAGUUACGCUUCACACGCUGCUGCGAUGUAUGCAAGUAUUAUUCGCUAUCACAUUGCGGACAUUUUGCGUGCCUAUUUUAGUUCAUCAGACCGGAGUCAAUACUUCUUAGAGUAUCAAUAUCACCGAUUUAUUCGAAAUAAAAUUCAACCCCAAUUUUCCCACCAUUUGUGACUUGAGAAGCUUUUUAGUUUUUUCAGACAUUCCAAAAGACGAAUCUGUUUAGUUGGAAUGUCGCAGUGUUCAAUAAAUUUUAUCGAACUGAAAUUAUUGUAUCAACUUAUCCAAGAGUUCGACCAUAAUUACCUGCCGACACGCCGCGCCGGUGCGGACUAGUCCGAAGAGUCCUAAAAAAAUUAGUUAUUUUUAAUAUUUUAUUUACUUGGGUCCCCUGAAAGUAUUGACUCAUUUAGACAGUCCGAACUUAUUAAAAUUUUGUAGAAUUUUUGCUAGAGAAUCGACUACAAACUCUUAUUUAAUUUUAUUUAAGAAGUAUUUAAUUUUUUUGAUAGAGCUAAUAUUUUUCGUCGUUAGUCAAGAAACGUACCAAGAUGAGUACUUUAAAGUGACCAUAGUUUUGGAAAAGUGCUCUUAAAAAACACUCAAGCGGUA
Molecule: long non-coding RNA, 1121 nt
Filed under: Bemisia tabaci
Lineage: Eukaryota; Metazoa; Arthropoda; Insecta; Hemiptera; Aleyrodidae
Description: lncRNA ENSSSA1NGG004292
Source: RNAcentral